RNAcentral lists this ribosomal RNA (467 nucleotides) under uncultured bacterium. RNAcentral describes it as "partial 16S ribosomal RNA". It matches the Rfam family "Bacterial small subunit ribosomal RNA", at positions 28 to 506 of the family's 1533-position model. The record is from RNAcentral.
GACGAACGCUGGCGGCGUGCUUAACACAUGCAAGUCGAACGGAAAGGCCCUGCUUUUGUGGGGUGCUCGAGUGGCGAACGGGUGAGUAACACGUGAGUAACCUGCCCUUGACUUUGGGAUAACUUCAGGAAACUGGGGCUAAUACCGGAUAGGAGCUCCUGCUGCAUGGUGGGGGUUGGAAAGUUUCGGCGGUUGGGGAUGGACUCGCGGCUUAUCAGCUUGUUGGUGGGGUAGUGGCUUACCAAGGCUUUGACGGGUAGCCGGCCUGAGAGGGUGACCGGCAACAUGGGGACGGGGAUACGGCCCAGACUCUUACGGGAGGCAGCAGUGGGGAAUAUUGCACAAGGGGCGGAAGCCUGAUGCAGCAACGCGGCGUGCGGGAUGACGGCCUUCGGGUUGUAAACCGCUUUCGCCUGUGACGAAGCGUGAGGGACGGUAAUGGGUAAAGAAGCACCGGCUAACUACGU